RNAcentral lists this long non-coding RNA (430 nucleotides) under Lupinus angustifolius (narrow-leaved blue lupine). Its description in RNAcentral is "long non-coding RNA (LANG_LNC000800)". Lineage: Eukaryota; Viridiplantae; Streptophyta; Magnoliopsida; Fabales; Fabaceae. The record is from RNAcentral.
AUAUCUCCAGAUGGAGCAUAUUCAGCCGGAUCGGUAAUAACAUAUUAUUUUAUUUUAUUUUAUUCUAUUUUAUUUUCUUUUCACAUAUUCUAACAAAUUCAAUUUUUCCAUUUAUUCAGUACAAUUUUAUCAAAAUGAUUCGGGAUAGAUGUGCUCCUACAAAUGUGUUUCCAAAUCCGUUGCAGUCAUUGAAUGACGUCUAUCACAACUGCAAUGAGAUGAUGGAAGCAUUUGCUCAACUAAUUCCAACCGCCUUCUCCUCAACUACUUCUGAAGCUCCUCCUCCACAACACUUCCAAAUGCCUUUUGCACCUGAAUAUCAACAAUAUGAGAGUCAAACUCAGACGGAUACUUUUCCGCAGGCAUACACUCAGACUCUUGCUCCUCAACAACAACAACAACAUCCGUUUGGGUUUGAACCUUACGGAGC